Molecule: long non-coding RNA, 833 nt
Filed under: Physcomitrium patens
Lineage: Eukaryota; Viridiplantae; Streptophyta; Bryopsida; Funariales; Funariaceae
Description: long non-coding RNA (PPAT_LNC005023)
Source: RNAcentral
GGUAACUUCGAUCCUUUUCAAUUUUUUUGUGCUUGUUUGUAACUUUUUUUUUUAGAAGUAUCAAAAAUUUGAGUUAAGAUCAAUGGUUUAUUCAUUAGUUAUUGAGGUUUAAAUCUGUUAUAGGAAUUACUAGGAUUUGGUUUAGGAUUUGGUUAGGGUUUGGUUUAGGGUUUAGGAUUUGGAUUAGGGUUUGAUUUAGGAUUCAUGGUUUAUUUAGGAUUUAGGAUUUAGUUAGGAUUUGGUUUAGGAUUUAGGAUUUAGAUUAGGAUUUGGUUUAGGAUUUGGUUAUGGUUUUAUUUAGGGUUUGAUUUAGGAUUUAGGGUUUAUUUAGGAUUUGGGAUUUAGGAUUUAGGGUUUAGGAUUUGGAUUAAAGUUUGAUUAGAGUUUGAUUUAGGAUUUAGGGUUUGGAUUAGGAUUUGAUUAGGAUUCGGUUUAGGAUUUGGUUGUGGUUUGGUUUAAGAUUUGUUUAGGAUUUGAUUUAGGGUUUAGGAUUUUAUGAAGAUUUAAGAUUAAAUUAGUUUUGGCCUAAAGUUUGAAUGAAGUUCAAUAGGAUUUUAACUAGAAUUAAAUUAAGAUUGAAUUGAAAUGUAUUUGAGUGAUAUUUGUGAUCCUUCCAAUAUUUCUUUAAGAAUUCUUAUUGUUUGUUUGAAAUUUCUUGAGGUUUUUUUUAAUUUGAUUGAAGCUUGCUUAGUAUUAUUAUGAUCUAAUUAGAGUUUAAUUGGUAUUCUAUUAGAAUCAGGAUUUUGUUGUUGCAAUUUCCAUUCUUCCUUCUACAAUCAGGUACCCGGAGCAUUCUCAAGCAAGACUUCACGUAUUAUGACACCGUCAUAGAU